This 58-nucleotide ribosomal RNA is filed under the name Colletotrichum truncatum. RNAcentral describes it as "partial 28S ribosomal RNA". Lineage: Eukaryota; Fungi; Ascomycota; Sordariomycetes; Glomerellales; Glomerellaceae. The record is from RNAcentral.
UUGACCUCGGAUCAGGUAGGGAUACCCGCUGACUUAAGCAUAUCAAUAAGCGGAGGAA